AUUGAACGCUGGCGGCAUGCCUUACACAUGCAAGUCGAACGGUAACGGGCCUUCGGGUGCCGACGAGUGGCGAACGGGUGAGUAAUACAUCGGAACGUGCCCGAUCGUGGGGGAUAACGAGGCGAAAGCUUUGCUAAUACCGCAUACGAUCUACGGAUGAAAGCAGGGGACCGCAAGGCCUUGCGCGGACGGAGCGGCCGAUGGCAGAUUAGGUAGUUGGUGGGAUAAAAGCUUACCAAGCCGACGAUCUGUAGCUGGUCUGAGAGGAUGAUCAGCCACACUGGGACUGAGACACGGCCCAGACUCCUACGGGAGGCAGCAGUGGGGAAUUUUGGACAAUGGGCGCAAGCCUGAUCCAGCCAUGCCGCGUGCAGGAUGGAGGCCUUCGGGUUGUAAACUGCUUUUGUACGGAACGAAAAGCCUUCUUUUAAUACAGGAGGGUCAUGACGGUACCGUAAGAAUAAGCACCGGCUAACUACGUG
Molecule: ribosomal RNA, 482 nt
Filed under: uncultured bacterium
Lineage: Bacteria
Description: partial 16S ribosomal RNA
Rfam family: Bacterial small subunit ribosomal RNA
Source: RNAcentral